This 702-nucleotide ribosomal RNA is filed under the name Triticum aestivum (bread wheat). Its description in RNAcentral is "partial small subunit ribosomal RNA". Lineage: Eukaryota; Viridiplantae; Streptophyta; Magnoliopsida; Poales; Poaceae. The record is from RNAcentral.
AUGGCCGGAGCGAUCGCGUACGAGGAGCAGCGCCGGAGGCAGGUGGAGGAGAACCAGCGGAAGCUGGAGGAGCUCAAGCUGCGCCACCUCUCCGCCGCCGUCAGGGAGGCCGCCACCCCCAAGCCCUCGCCGGCCAAGUCCCUGAAGCGGAAGCGGGUGCCGCGGGAGGCCGGCGAGGACGCCCCGAUCCGGCGGUCCGGCCGCGUCGCCAGCCUCCCUGAGCAGCCCAACUACCGAUUCGAGGAUGUCUUUCAUGUCCUCGAGAAGAAGAUCAGGAGGGGGCGCAGGACGACGACCAGCACAAGGAGCGACUUGAUUAAUCGAGUGUACGCUACAGACAAGGCCAGAGAGUAUGCCACCACCAUGGCCGAAGAGCUGCAGGCCAAGCUAGGGUCACGCUACCCCAGUUUUGUCAAGCCCAUGACGCAGUCACAUGUCACCGGAGGGUUCUGGCUGGGCCUCCCGUUGCCCUUCUGCCGGAAGCAUCUCCCGAAGCGUGACGAGAAGCUCACUUUGAAGGAUGAGCAGGGCGUCGAGUCCGAAUCGCUCUACCUUGCGCUUAAGAACGGCCUCAGUGCUGGAUGGAGAGGGUUCGCCAUCCAGCACAACCUGGUUGAUGGGGAUUGUCUGGUGUUCGAGCUGAUCAACCGGACGAUGUUCAAGGUCUACGUUAUCAGACAAAGUUCCUACUAUGAACGAUGA